This 465-nucleotide ribosomal RNA is filed under the name uncultured Klebsiella sp. RNAcentral's name for it is "bacterial SSU rRNA". It matches the Rfam family "Bacterial small subunit ribosomal RNA", at positions 338 to 795 of the family's 1533-position model. The record is from RNAcentral. Lineage: Bacteria; Pseudomonadati; Pseudomonadota; Gammaproteobacteria; Enterobacterales; Enterobacteriaceae.
CCUACGGGCGGCUGCAGUGGGGAAUAUUGCACAAUGGGCGCAAGCCUGAUGCAGCCAUGCCGCGUGUGUGAAGAAGGCCUUCGGGUUGUAAAGCACUUUCAGCGGGGAGGAAGGCGGUGAGGUUAAUAACCUCAUCGAUUGACGUUACCCGCAGAAGAAGCACCGGCUAACUCCGUGCCAGCAGCCGCGGUAAUACGGAGGGUGCAAGCGUUAAUCGGAAUUACUGGGCGUAAAGCGCACGCAGGCGGUCUGUCAAGUCGGAUGGGAAAUCCCCGGGCUCAACCUGGGAACUGCAUUCGAAACUGGCAAGCGAGAGUCUUGUAGAGGGGGGUAGAAUUCCAGGUGUAGCGGUGAAAUGCGUAGAGAUCUGGAGGAAUACCGGUGGCGAAGGCGGCCCCCUGGACAAAGACUGACGCUCAGGUGCGAAAGCGUGGGGAGCAAACAGGAUUAGAUACCCCAGUAGUC